CGGAUUGAUGCGCUGGUGGCUUGUUGGCGAUAUAUAUGUCGAUUUUUCUUUCUUGACGAUUACGCUUAUGCCUGGACUUACUGCUUCACGCAAAUCAAUCUAUCGUUCAAGAGGUGGCGGUCAGAGCUGAAGAAAAAAUAUUUUACUCAAAGAACAGAAGAUUGGGAGCGUUACUGGCAUCUUGACGAGCGCGCCGAUGGAGUUGAUUUUUUUGCACUUUGCGAUUAUUGGGACACGGCCGAAGCUCAGGAACAAGCUGAAAUAGCAAGGAGGAAC
This is a long non-coding RNA of Asparagus officinalis (garden asparagus), 276 nucleotides long. RefSeq lists it as uncharacterized. NCBI's taxonomy places the organism in Eukaryota, Viridiplantae, Streptophyta, Magnoliopsida, Asparagales, Asparagaceae. The record is from RefSeq and is a predicted model, not a curated record. The transcript is spliced from 3 exons.